Molecule: non-coding RNA, 408 nt
Organism: Cinara cedri
Lineage: Eukaryota; Metazoa; Arthropoda; Insecta; Hemiptera; Aphididae
Source: the annotation of a GenBank genome assembly
AAAAUGAGUUAGAAAACUCAUUGAAAUGCUGAUAACGGAUGAGCAGGUAUAAGUGCCAUUACAAUAUCUCUUCCUCUUGUGGCACCCAGUUCUUCUACUGCAUUGUAGAAUGCAUACUGUGUCGUAAAAGAUAAAAGGAAGGCGCAGGCAAAAUUCAACCAGUCUUCAUAUAGGUCCAGUACCCUCAACGACCUAGCUAGCCCGACGUCUUUCAUCACUAUGGCUAAAUCCAACGGGGACCUCGCCAUCGGCGUAGUCUUAUGCAUAGGCUAGGUUAAGUUAUCAUUAUAAGUUAGUUAGUUAAAAUUUAAGUUUAUUGUAAGUAUCCAAAUUUAAUGCGAGUCUGCACCACGAGUGGGAAAAAAUGAUUGCAAGACCACUUAUUGUAUCUCUUUUAAGCAAAAGUGA